GUCCAGAUUACCUGAGCAGCGAAUGCAUUCUCAAUUUUAUUCUAUUAUAUUCUUGGUUUUAAGAGGUGCCCACUCACCCCUCAGCCAAGAUGAAUCUGGAGGUGAAGUCUUCUGGGACCAGCAAGCCGCAUUAUGGCCUGGAAUUAUCCUCUGACUUUUGACACACCCGGAGCCUUUCUGCCGGCAUGGUGUGUCUCCCUUGUCCCAGAAAGGGUGGCGGAGGGAAGCGGAGAUCCCUUAAUCCUUUAUUCAAACAGUGUUUUGCCCCUCUUUGUCCUUGCCAUGAUGAUUAUCUUAAGGUGUUUACAAGAGACAAAGACAGGCUAUUUACCCUGUAUCUGUUGUUACUUCCGUUUCUGAGGGCAAACAGGAGGCUGAUUGUAAAGGCCUAAACUGGAGCCCACCUAUCUCCUGUCUCAGGAAAUGCUAACAGAAGGCUAGUUGUAAGGAUCCAGCCUGAAGCCCACUUCUUCCUGCCCCAUGAAAUGCAAAAAGGAGGCAAGUUGUAAACGUCCAAACUGGAGCUCGACUGUCUCCUACCUCAUUCCCAGUUUGUUCUGCUGCAUGGUCCUGCAAGGAGCACCACUGAGGCACGCCUUAAGGCUGAGGGUCAUGUGAGCUGGCUCAACACCCAGGCCACCACCGCCACCAUCGCGAGUUCUACUAGCUCCCUAGCCCCUAUUUUCAGAGACUUUACCUGACUUUGGGAGUAUAUUUUCAUUUGUAUGACUGUGAUAGAAUGUCCUUUUUUUUUUUUUUUGGAAUUCUUUAUUGGAUUUGUUACAAUAUUGCUUCUGUUUUUGUGUGUGUGUGUGUUUUUUUAAUGUUUUGACUUUUU
Long non-coding RNA from Bos taurus (domestic cattle), 838 nucleotides. The record is from Ensembl. Lineage: Eukaryota; Metazoa; Chordata; Mammalia; Artiodactyla; Bovidae.